This 314-nucleotide long non-coding RNA is filed under the name Rattus norvegicus (Norway rat). RNAcentral's name for it is "long non-coding RNA NONRATT022711". The record is from RNAcentral. Lineage: Eukaryota; Metazoa; Chordata; Mammalia; Rodentia; Muridae.
CUGUCUUCAAUCUCUAGGUUCCAGCUGCAAAGGCAUGGCUUCUCAGCCUCCUCUGGCCUUCAUAGCAGAGGUGAGACACCAGGAUACGAGGCACCUGCGCAGUGCUGUCCUGAAGAGCAGCAUCACCGAGCCCUGCAUGAUUCCUAAACAGAUAUUGAACUUGGAAAACAAAAACAUCAUUUAUCUGAACUGGAUGAUAAAGAGUCUGAGGCUCUGGACUAAAGUGGGACCAGCCUGUGAAUUCCACCACCUCAGGGUCAGAGCAGAAGUCUGCCCAAAGAUAAAAGGACAAAGCCACCUGUGUUUGUCAGCAA